CCUCCCUGGCCUGCCUUACAAGCAGCCGGGAUAGGGCGUAAGGCACACGCGCUACGUUUCUAGUGAGAAUUUUUCGCCUGAUCUGGGGCUCUGAGGCUCCCGCAGGGCGGGAGGACUCAGCUCUACUCUUGUCGCUAGAGCGCACUGGCGCUUGGGCUUGAAACCAGACACGACGUUAUUGCAACCUUCUCUCUAGAUCUGCUCUGCUGCCUCUGGGAGACCUGCUGCCUAACGACGGUUUGGGAGUGAUUCUGUGGGUGUGAAUGUCUGCACUCUUCCUCCUAUGCCCCGGGGCUGUCAGCUUCUAUGGCAGGGACCCCUCCUCUCUAAGGUGCCUGGCAUAGUGUCCCUGAUCCUCAUGCAAAUAGCACCUAGCUUGGCUUACAACUGGCCCCAUGCGGUUUGGGCUCUAACUUGAGCUCAGUGGGAGGGGUGGAAUUAAUACCCCUUUCAGGGGGCUGAUGAUGGGCCUAGGGAUGCUGAGCCCACAUGAAUUAAUGGGACUGGUUCUUAAGUGCCCAAGUAGUUUGAAAAUGGGAUAUUGGGCUUCUGUGUCACAUAGCCCUUUUGAAAAUGUGCCCGUCUCUCUGUGGAAGAGCUAAUGCUCCAGGUCCAAUAUGACACCGAUAUGAGGCAGGUAACUGUUCAGACUUGUCUGUUUGCACAAUUUAGCAAAGAGGUCCUGGAUUUCACCAGCUUUGUUUCUAUUUGGCUUACCUCUGUUGUGCAGAGGAGAGUGUUAAGGGAAGUUGCUUUUAAAACGGGUGAGGUGUUCUAGUUUGAAGUAGUGCAAGUCUUUGCGUAGGCGGGCUUGUGGGGUGGGGGCUGAGCCGGAGUUCUGUCUGGAGGGGGCAGUGCAGCCUACUGGAGAGACUUCUGCAUUGGGAGUCAGGUGGCCGUGGUUCUAUUCUUUGCUCUGUUGCUGAGCGAGCUUGGUAAGUCCCGUUCCCGCCUCCAUAGCAUGGGGCUUAAAGAGAUCCUGACCUUGGCAAAGCAGGUACCUCUGAUCAGAAGUGCGGGGGAAGAGGGUGCGUGAACGCCUGGCAGGAAAGCUCACUGAUGAACAUGCUCUUUGUACUAAUAAAGCUUUGAA
Gopherus evgoodei (Goodes thornscrub tortoise) is the source of this 1093-nucleotide long non-coding RNA. RefSeq lists it as uncharacterized. The record is from RefSeq and is a predicted model, not a curated record. NCBI's taxonomy places the organism in Eukaryota, Metazoa, Chordata, Testudines, Testudinidae. The transcript has 2 exons.